AUGCAGCACGCCCUCAGCAGGAACCGGAGGAUCCUCCUGCCAACCCCGCGCUGGCCCUGCCUCUUGCCCUGGGUGCUGGCUGUGGAGUCUGUGGUGUCAGUGGUGGCUGCGGUCCCAGCCCCCUCAGGCUCACGGGCAGCUGCGGCGGCUUCUGGCUCUGCGAGGUCCACACGGCUCCUGGCACUGGGGCUGGAGGGCGACACCUUGGAGGCUGGCUUGGGGGCGGUGCUGGGAGCAGGGCUCCUCUCCUGCUGUGGCUGGCCUGGUAGGAGAAAGUCAAGAGUGGGGUCACCUCGGGGGCCUUGGGCUCAGCUCCUGGAGGCCCCAAAGAGGCAGGGGAUGAGGGGAGUGGGCAAGACUCACUGGAGACUUUGGGGGAGUCGGGGGCGGCGCUGGGAGCAGGGCUCCUCUCCUGCUGUGGCUGUCCUGGUAGGAGAGAGUCAAGAGUGGGGUGACCAAGGGGGCCUAGGGCUCAGCCCCAAGAGUGCCCGAGGUGGCUGGGGCUGGGAGGGAGAGGGGAAGACUCACUGGAGACUUUGGGGGAGUCAGGGGCAGCACUGGGAGCAGGGCUCCUCUCCUGCUGUGGCUGGCCUGGUAGGAAAGAGUCAAGAGUGGGGUCACCUCGGGGCCUUGGGCUCAGCUCCUGGAGGCCCCAAAGUGGCAGGGGAUGUGGGGAGUGGGCAAGACUCACUGGAGGGCUCGAAGAGUCGGGGGUGGCGCUGGGAGCAGGGCUCCUCUCCUGCUGUGGCUGGCCUGGUAGGGGAGAGUCAAAAGUGGGGUCACCUCGGAGCCUUGGGCUCAGCUCUUGGAGGGCCUGAGGCAGGGAGAGGGCAAGACUCACUGGGGGCCUCGGAGGAGUCGCUUUGUGCGGAGGAAACGUUGACGGCCAUGCUGUCACAGGACACUGACACCAGAGCCAAGCCGUCGUCCUCUAUGGGGGGGGCACUUGCUGUUCUGCGAGGACUUGGGCAGGGACGUGGAGUCCUGGGACUGAGGGCCUGGCGUCCCCUCGGUCCCCGUGCCUGGCAGCAGGCCGAGGCCCACCAGGUACUCCCUGGCCUCCAGGUCCCGGGGAACUCCCAGGGGCUGCAGCAGGGUGACCGCGUCCUCCUCGUGCUCCUGGGCAGCUUCUCGGCUGGGGCCGAACCACGAGUGGGUCCUGGCGUCCUCCGCACUGGCCUCCCCGAGGCAUCGAUGGUGAGCAGCCACGCCAGCAGCUCCUGCAGGGCUGGGCUGAUGCCACGUGGCACCACGUAG
RNAcentral lists this long non-coding RNA (1257 nucleotides) under Oryctolagus cuniculus (rabbit). RNAcentral describes it as "lncRNA (ENSOCUG00000032267.1)". Lineage: Eukaryota; Metazoa; Chordata; Mammalia; Lagomorpha; Leporidae. The record is from RNAcentral.